AGCGGAGGGAUCAUUACUGAGUUAUUAAAACUCCAAACCCUUUGUGAACCUUACUGUCGUUGCCUCGGCGUGAGCUACGGCUACCCUGUAGUUACCCUAUAGCUACCCUGCAGCUACCCUAUAGUUGACCAGUGGCUACCCUGUAGUUACCCUAUAGCUACCCUGCAGCUACCCUAUAGUUGACCAGUAGCUACCCUGUAGCCGGCUUAUGGCCCGCCGAAGGACCGCUAAACUCUUGUUUUUUUACCACUGUUUCUCUGAAUUGUAAACUUAAAUAAGUUAAAACUUUCAACAACGGAUCUCUUGGUUCUGGCAUCGAUGAAGAACGCAGCGAAAUGCGAUAAGUAAUGUGAAUUGCAGAAUUCAGUGAAUCAUCGAAUCUUUGAACGCACAUUGCGCCCAUUAGUAUUCUAGUGGGCAUGCCUAUUCGAGCGUCAUUUCGACCCUUAAGCCCCUGUUGCUUAGCGUUGGGAAUCUACAGCGUAGUUCCUUAAAGUUAGUGGCGGAGUUAGGGUACACUCUCAGCGUAGUAAUCUUUCUCGCUCGUGUGGUGGCCCUGGCUGCUAGCCGUUAAACCCCUAUAUUUUCUAGUGGUUGACCUCGGAUUAGGUAGGAAUACCCGCUGAACUUAAGCAU
RNAcentral lists this ribosomal RNA (636 nucleotides) under Sordariomycetes sp. Its description in RNAcentral is "eukaryotic LSU rRNA". The stretch from base 284 to 437 matches the Rfam family "5.8S ribosomal RNA". Lineage: Eukaryota; Fungi; Ascomycota; Sordariomycetes. The record is from RNAcentral.